AACCCAUUGUUACAUUAUUAGACGGAAAGACCCCAAGAGCUUUUUUUGUGUUAGAUUUGUUUGGGGUAAAUGUAGAUUAUUCAUUUAUUUUUAGAUCCUUCAUGGAUAAAGGAUAAAGUUACCUUGGGGAUAACUGAGUAAAGGGCAGGGAGAGGUCCUAUCGAUCUGUUUAUUACUACCUCGAUGUUGGCUUGUUGAACCUUUUCGGUGUAGAGGCUGGAAAAGGAAGUCUGUUCGACUUUUAAAUCUUCAUGAGUUGAGUUAAGACCGGUGUAAGCCAGGUUGGUUCUUAUCUAUAAUUGGUUCUAGUUAGUACGAAAGGAUUAUUAGGAUACAGUGUUUCUGUACACAUAGGAAUAGAAAGUAUACA
This 370-nucleotide ribosomal RNA is filed under the name Schistosoma mansoni. Its description in RNAcentral is "partial 16S ribosomal RNA". The stretch from base 14 to 300 matches the Rfam family "Bacterial large subunit ribosomal RNA", at positions 2072 to 2648 of the family's 2925-position model. The record is from RNAcentral. Lineage: Eukaryota; Metazoa; Platyhelminthes; Trematoda; Strigeidida; Schistosomatidae.